UUACCACUUAGCUUUGGUGUUCUAAGAAGA
RNAcentral lists this non-coding RNA (30 nucleotides) under Mus musculus (house mouse). Lineage: Eukaryota; Metazoa; Chordata; Mammalia; Rodentia; Muridae. The record is from RNAcentral.